GUACUGUGUAUCUUUUUCUCUUUCUUACAGUGCUUCUCUGGUACUCUGAAAUAUCUACAGGAUCCGCUAUGUAUGUCUACAUAUGUGACCUGAAAAUAUGAAGGAAUUAAUAGCCCCAUGGGGCAGCCCUUGCCUGGUGCUAGACGACAGACAACGGCUCCUUCUGUCUUUGGCCAGGAUGAUUUGAGGACUAGCUUGUCACUGGAGCCCUGUGCCUGAAGAGGGCAUGUGGAAGGGCUGAAAAUGCCUUUCCCAUCAUUUGUCUCCAGGGAACUUUGCUCUUAAAGGAAGACUAAAGACCAUGGAAACUUCUCUUUGACUUAACAAGGAUUUUCAGCAUCUCUGAUUUGCACACAGCCUGCAUUUGGUGUUGCUGGAGUGGGACAGAAAGAGCACAAAUGAAACCCCAGGUUCUGCCUUCAAGGCACUGCCAAGCUAGAAGAAGAGGUUAAUCUGCUCUGAGGCACUCUGGAGAUUUUUCAGUCCUGAAGAAUUUUUCUUUCAUCUGACAACCGAUCAACCUUGGGAUUCCAAAGAUGUCAGGACUUGAGCCUGAGAAGAUGUAGCACAGGGUCUCAGGGCUGGACUUCAGUAGAUACAGAUCUGUCCCAAACAGCGAUCUGUUCAUAGACAUCUACAAGCUAAAAGUCAGUCACCUCCAUGGACUGUCCAGCCCCAUCUUUGCUGUCCAGAUCUUCGGGGCUGCUAUGACUCUGAAAUGAGGCCGUGAUGCGAUCUGCAUAGGUUAAGAGGGUCCAGCUCUCUGGCUACGGUGACUUGAGUGUUAUGAUGUGGAUCUGGAGUGCUCCCCAUGUCACUUGUGCUAAAGGGUUGGUUGCCAGACUGCGGCAUUAUUGGGAGAUGGUGGGAAUACAGGAC
RNAcentral lists this long non-coding RNA (879 nucleotides) under Heterocephalus glaber (naked mole-rat). Its description in RNAcentral is "lncRNA (ENSHGLG00000041674.1)". Lineage: Eukaryota; Metazoa; Chordata; Mammalia; Rodentia; Bathyergidae. The record is from RNAcentral.